This 1032-nucleotide ribosomal RNA is filed under the name Triticum aestivum (bread wheat). RNAcentral describes it as "partial small subunit ribosomal RNA". The record is from RNAcentral. Lineage: Eukaryota; Viridiplantae; Streptophyta; Magnoliopsida; Poales; Poaceae.
AUGCCCCUCAGAUUCAGGACUCUACAGGAAAAAAGAAGGGAGUCGGUGCUGAUUGUGGGAGUUUAUGUGGAUGACUUGAUCAUCACAGGUGGCAGUGAUCGUGUCAUAGCAGAUUUCAAAAAACAAAUGAAGUCCAAAUUCAGUAUGAGUGACUUGGGGCUGCUGAGUUACUACUUGGGAAUCGAGGUGGAGCAAUCAACGGAUGGAAUCACUCUAAGCCAAUCCGCGUAUGCUGCUCGGAUCCUUGAGAAAAUGGGAAUGUCAAAUUGUAACGCAGCUCACACACCCAUGGAGCCCAGACUAAAACUUAGCAAAGAAAGUCAAGCUGAAGCCGUGGAUCCUACAAAGUACAGAAGUGUGGUUGGUAGUCUGAGGUAUCUCCUCCACACUCGGCCGGAUCUUAGUUUUUCAGUUGGGUUUGUGAGCAGAUUUAUGGAAAGGCCUACAGUGGAGCACAUGGUGGCUGUUAAGCAUAUCCUCAAGUAUAUAAAAGGAACACUAGACCCCGGUUGUAGCUACAAGAGGUGUAGAGUAAAUGGUCCUUGGCUGCUGGGCUAUUGUGAUAGUGAUUUGGCAGGAGACAUCGAUGAUCGAAAAAGUACUUCAAGGGUAUUGUUCUAUUUUGGGGGGUGCCCUAUAACCUGGAGCUCCCAAAAGCAAAAAAUUGUUGCUCAGUUAUCGUGCAAAGCCGAGUAUGUGGCUGCAGCCUCUGCUGCUGGUCAAGCCGUGUGGUUGGCAAGGUUGGUAGGAGAACUACUUGAUCAAGAGACAGAAAGAGCAGUGAUCAGAGUUGACAAUCAAUCAGCUAUCGCCCUAUGCAAGAAUCCUGUAUUCCAUGAAAGAACUAAGCACAUUGAUGUGCGAUACCAUUUCGUGAGGCACUGUGUAGAAGAUGGCACUAUCGCCGUGGAACAUGUGAGGACUGAAGAACAGCAUGCUGACAUUUUAACGAAGGCACUACCCAGAGUUCGCUUUCAAGUGUUGAAGAGGAAGAUUGGCAUGCUACUGGUCAAGUCAGUGCAUCUGGUUUAA